CCGGGCAAUCGCUGCGUACCUUGAGUACGUAGAGGAAAGUCCAUGCUCGCACGGCCUGUGAUGGCCGUAGUGUUCGUGCCUGGCGAAGUCAUAAGCUGGGGUAGUUCGUCAAUGGACGGGCUAACGGCGGAAAAAAAGCCUGGGUCCGCUUAGCGGAUACGGCUUAGUAUUCCUGAAAAGUGCCAUAGUGACGAUGUCUUCCGGAAACGGAAGAAGUGGAACGUGGUAAACCCCUCGAGCGGGAAACUCAAACUUGGUAGAGGAACCCUUUGGCAGGAAACGAACGAAAAAAGGGACAGAGUUGCUCUGUAGAUAGAUGAUUGCCACUUCCUGCGCGGAAGUACGGAACAUGGCUUACAG
Molecule: RNase P RNA, 360 nt
Filed under: uncultured Sporolactobacillus sp.
Lineage: Bacteria; Bacillati; Bacillota; Bacilli; Caryophanales; Sporolactobacillaceae
Description: Bacterial RNase P class B
Rfam family: Bacterial RNase P class B
About the family: Ribonuclease P (RNase P) is a ubiquitous endoribonuclease, found in archaea, bacteria and eukarya as well as chloroplasts and mitochondria. Its best characterised activity is the generation of mature 5'-ends of tRNAs by cleaving the 5'-leader elements of precursor-tRNAs. Cellular RNase Ps are ribonucleoproteins.
Source: RNAcentral